GAUGAACGCUGGCGGCGUGCCUAAUACAUGCAAGUAGAACGCUGAAGGAGGAGCUUGCUCUUCUGGAUGAGUUGCGAACGGGUGAGUAACGCGUAGGUAACCUGCCUGGUAGCGGGGGAUAACUAUUGGAAACGAUAGCUAAUACCGCAUGACAACAGUUAUUGCAUGAUAACUGUUUAAAAGGGGCAACUGCUCCACUACCAGAUGGACCUGCGUUGUAUUAGCUAGUUGGUGAGGUAACGGCUCACCAAGGCGACGAUACAUAGCCGACCUGAGAGGGGGAUCGGCCACACUGGGACCGAGACACGGCCCAGACUCCUACGGGAGGCAGCAGUAGGGAAUCUUCGGAAAUGGACGGAAGUCUGACCGAGCAACGCCGCGUGAGUGAAGAAGGUUUUCGGAUCGUAAAGCUCUGUUGUAAGAGAAGAACGAGUGUGAGAGUGGAAAGUUCACACUGUGACGGUAUCUUACCAGAAAGGGACGGCUAACUACGUG
RNAcentral lists this ribosomal RNA (495 nucleotides) under uncultured bacterium. RNAcentral's name for it is "partial 16S ribosomal RNA". It matches the Rfam family "Bacterial small subunit ribosomal RNA", at positions 28 to 507 of the family's 1533-position model. The record is from RNAcentral.